CAUGAGGUCACAUAGGGGCCUGGUGAAUGUAUCAGGUAGGAGGUGAGGUCACACAGGGGUGUGGUGAAGGCAUGGUCUUCCAGCUCACAAACCUAAUUGAUUUUAACCUGUAUGCCUGCCUACUUCAUUCCCCUCUCAGAGACUCCACCCCUUAAUCCUAAGGAGCAUCGCUAGGCAGAUGGAGGAGAAAUGGAAGAGCCUGGACUCUGGCAUGCCAGCUUGGGAUGCAGGUGUCCCCGGUAGCAGCUUGAACCACUGCGGCACAACGCACGCUCCAAGAUGGAAUUUGUGAAAUGCAGAGAAAAAUAUAAAAUAUGCAUUUCAGGAUAUUAAAAGUAUGAAGAAGAGAAGAAAAGUAUUGAGGGAAA
Oryctolagus cuniculus (rabbit) is the source of this 368-nucleotide non-coding RNA. The record is from RefSeq and is a predicted model, not a curated record. NCBI's taxonomy places the organism in Eukaryota, Metazoa, Chordata, Mammalia, Lagomorpha, Leporidae.